AGUGAACGCUGGCGGUAGGCCUAACACAUGCAAGUCGAACGGCAGCACAGUAAGAGCUUGCUCUUACGGGUGGCGAGUGGCGGACGGGUGAGGAAUACAUCGGAAUCUACUUUUUCGUGAGGGAUAACGUAGGGAAACUUACGCUAAUACCGCAUACGACCUACGGGUGAAAGCAGGGGAUCUUCGGACCUUGCGCGAUUGAAUGAGCCGAUGUCGGAUUAGCUAGUUGGCGGGGUAAAGGCCCACCAAGGCGACGAUCCGUAGCUGGUCUGAGAGGAUGAUCAGCCACACUGGAACUGAGACACGGUCCAGACUCCUACGGGAGGCAGCAGUGGGGAAUAUUGACAAUGGGCGCAAGCCUGAUCCAGCCAUACCGCGUGGGUGAAGAAGGCCUUCGGGUUGUAAAGCCCUUUUGUUGGGAAAGAAAAGCAGCAGGUUAAUACCCCGCUGUUCUGACGGUACCCAAAGAAUAAGCACCGGCUAACUUCGUG
This 491-nucleotide ribosomal RNA is filed under the name uncultured bacterium. RNAcentral's name for it is "partial 16S ribosomal RNA". It matches the Rfam family "Bacterial small subunit ribosomal RNA", at positions 29 to 507 of the family's 1533-position model. The record is from RNAcentral.